This 194-nucleotide microRNA precursor is filed under the name Oryza nivara. RNAcentral describes it as "MIR812 microRNA precursor family". It matches the Rfam family "MIR812 microRNA precursor family". Lineage: Eukaryota; Viridiplantae; Streptophyta; Magnoliopsida; Poales; Poaceae. The record is from Rfam by way of RNAcentral.
AAAAAGACAAACCCUGGUUUCCGUGUCUAACGUUUGACCGUCCGUCUUAUUUGAAAAAAAUUAAAAAGAUAACUCACGCAUAAAGUAUUAAUCUUGUUUUAUCAUCUAACAACAAUGAAAAUACUAAUUACAAGAAAAUUUCAUAUAAGACAGACAGUCAAAUAUUGGCACGGAAAUCCAGUGUUUGUGUUUUU